CGAACGCUGGCGGCAGGCUUAACACAUGCAAGUCGAACGGGCCCUUCGGGGUCAGUGGCAGACGGGUGAGUAACGCGUGGGAACGUGCCCUUCAGUUCGGAAUAACCCAGGGAAACUUGGGCUAAUACCGGAUACGUGCGAGAGCAGAAAGAUUUAUCGCUGAAGGAUCGGCCCGCGUCUGAUUAGCUAGUUGGUAGGGUAAUGGCCUACCAAGGCGACGAUCAGUAGCUGGUCUGAGAGGAUGAUCAGCCACAUUGGGACUGAGACACGGCCCAAACUCCUACGGGAGGCAGCAGUGGGGAAUAUUGGACAAUGGGCGCAAGCCUGAUCCAGCCAUGCCGCGUGAGUGAUGAAGGCCUUAGGGUUGUAAAGCUCUUUCGUCCGGGACGAUAAUGACGGUACCGGAAGAAGAAGCCCCGGCUAACUUCGUGCCAGCAGCCGCGGUAAUACGAAGGGGGCUAGCGUUGUUCGGAAUCACUGGGCGUAAAGGGCGCGUAGGCGGCUUUGUAAGUCGGGGGUGAAAGCCUGUGGCUCAACCACAGAAUUGCCUUCGAUACUGCAUGGCUUGAGACCGGAAGAGGUAAGUGGAACUGCGAGUGUAGAGGUGAAAUUCGUAGAUAUUCGCAAGAACACCAGUGGCGAAGGCGGCUUACUGGUCCGGUUCUGACGCUGAGGCGCGAAAGCGUGGGGAGCAA
RNAcentral lists this ribosomal RNA (695 nucleotides) under uncultured Alphaproteobacteria bacterium. RNAcentral describes it as "bacterial SSU rRNA". It matches the Rfam family "Bacterial small subunit ribosomal RNA", at positions 30 to 771 of the family's 1533-position model. Lineage: Bacteria; Pseudomonadati; Pseudomonadota; Alphaproteobacteria. The record is from RNAcentral.